CAGCUGUGCAUAAAGAAGUGAGAACGGACAAAAGAAAAACGAUCAGAUGCUUGGACAGAGAGGGGGAAGGCCAGCAAGGCUGGGCCGGGGAGAUGCUGCUUCAUCUUUCUGUGACACAUCCCUUCCUCCCAGGUAUGGGGCAGAACCUCGCCGUACAAUCAGAGAAUUAGGUCACAGAAUUUCUCUUUGGGCACACGUAUGAUGGCAGGGAAAGGUCAGAGCAUAUUUCUAGUGCCCUGACCUGCCUUGAGGGGAAGAGGCAUUCUGAUUUCUGUGAAUUGCUUCGGGGAAGGAGAACAGAAUGAUAGCCCUCAGACAGGAGGGCAGCAAAAGGCCAUAGAGGGACUCUGAGCUUCUUUGAACAUCUUUCUCUUUAAAGUACUCAGUAUGUGAAAGGUCUACUCGCCGGGAUAUCCCCUUCUGAGCCCCAAUACCGUUCUCCUAACCUUGUUGCUUAUUGACACCUCUGAAAUCCUCUUUGCAGUUUAUCCUAAAGCAGACAAUGUUUACUGACACACAGAACUCAAGUUUCUCCUAGAUAGAAAAGGCGACAGCAGAUGCCAGGUGAAGCACAGUGAGCUAUUGUUUCUCACAAUGAAUCACUGAGAAAUGACACAGCAUAGAAGAUAGACUUGUAGACCAGCCUGACUACCAACAGCAAUGGGUCACUAUAGAAAACGCUGCUUUGAACACGCUCUAUGAAGAAUAGAGUGUUGAGAGCCUUUCUAAUUUUGGAGCUCUAUGGGGUGAUUCAGAUUUGUUUUAUUUUUAUUUUUUUUUAAUUUUCCUUGAAAACCCUCUCUUUCUGUCUCUCUGUCUCUAUCUCUCUGUUUCUGUCUCUCUGUCUCCAUCUCUCUGUCUCUCUCCUUUUUUUGUGUGUGUCUGUGUGUCUCUGUGUGUGUUUGUGUGUGUGUGUGCUGAGCAUGUUUAAUAAUGUUCAUGUGGAAAUGUAAGGACAACUUGUGGGGAACCAAUUUUUUCUCUCUACCCUAUGCCAUUCAGGGUUUGAACUUUAGCUCUCAGGCUUGGCAGCAAGUGCCUCUACUGGCUCACCCACUUCUCUGGCCCUUUUGUCUUCUUUUGAGACAGGGUCUCAUACCUGGAAUGUGCUACACAUCCAGAAGUGACUUUGGACUCUUCAUCUUCUCGCCUUUGCCUCCUGAGCGCUAGGACUAUGGGUGUGUACAUAGCCUGUUGUUUGAUGUGGGAAUUUAAUCCAGGUCUGUCCAUGUGGGAGGAAAGCAGGUGCGAGUUGAGUUACAAACGGAAGCCCUUACCAGGAAUCUGGGAAUAUGUAGUUUUCACUUGUGGGACAUAUGGGCUAACAGGGAGAUAUUUUUGGAAAAGUGGUACUUGUAGGUAUCAGAGUUCAGGGCCUGGCAUCCCCAAAUCUGACAUCUUGGCAUGCCAGUCUGCCAUGAAUAUUGAACAAUCGCUCUGCCACGGAGCUCCACCCACCCCUGCUGCCGCACUAUUUAAUGUAAGCUGAAUAGAAGCAAAAAAGUUCCCUUACCUUUCUCCCUUGAAACAUGGCAGAUAGGAAUACUCUGACCUACAUCCCCUAAAUGGAAGUCCCAAGGCCCCCAUGUGCCCCAUGUGUUCUUUCUCAUACCUGAGGGCAAUAAAAAUCUGAAGCUGUAGGCUUUGCUUUCUAAGUUCACUAGCUUGUCACGGUUAGGUUGUAUCUUCUGUUGCCCAGUCGCAUUUCCACGUGACGACCCACUAGGUUUUGGAAGACUGUCUAAGAAAACACAAUGGCCUCUUGUUUUUCAGUCUUCGUUGUGAGAGCUCUACCGGGCAGAGGAUGUCAGUAUUUGUCUAGUCAUGUCGAAGAAGAAGAAGAAGAAGAAGAAGAAGAAGAAGAAGAAGAAGAAGAAGAAGAAGAAGAAGAAGAAGAAGACGACACGUGCUCUAUGUGCUUUCUGCCUUGGCUGUCCCAGGAAAAACUCUAGAACAAGCUGAC
This is a long non-coding RNA of Mus musculus (house mouse), 1963 nucleotides long. RefSeq annotates it as predicted gene 5149. The transcript has 3 exons. The record is from RefSeq and is a predicted model, not a curated record. NCBI's taxonomy places the organism in Eukaryota, Metazoa, Chordata, Mammalia, Rodentia, Muridae.